AUGUUUUUGUGCCAUUCCCCAUGUUUGGGUACCGUUCCUGAUGAUUUUCUGCCAUUCCUGAUGUCUUUUGUUUUGCCCAUUCCCAAUGACUUUGUGUCUGCCAUUCCCGAAGUUUCUGUGCCAUUCUCCAUGUGUUUCUGUGCCAUUCUCCAUGUGUUUCUGUGCCAUUCUCCAUGUGUUUCUGUGCCAUUCCUGAUGUUUCUGUGCCAUUCUCCAUGUGUUUCUGUGCCAUUCCUGAUGUUUCUGUGCCAUUCUCCAUGUGUUUCUGUGCCAUUCCUGAUGUUUCUGUGCCAUUCUCCAUGUGUUUCUGUGCCAUUCCUGAUGUUUCUGUGCCAUUCUCCAUGUGUUUCUGUGCCAUUCCUGAUGUUUCUGUGCCAUUCUCCAUGUGUUUCUGUGCCAUUCCCGAAGUUUCUGUGCCAUUCUCCAUGUGUUUCUGUGCCAUUCCCGAAGUUUCUGUGCCAUUCUCCAUGUGUUUCUGUGCCAUUCCCGAAGUUUCUGUGCCAUUCUCCAUGUGUUUCUGUGCCAUUCCCGAAGUUUCUGUGCCAUUCUCCAUGUGUUUCUGUGCCAUUCCCGAAGUUUCUGUGCCAUUCUCCAUGUGUUUCUGUGCCAUUCCCGAAGUUUCUGUGCCAUUCUCCAUGUGUUUCUGUGCCAUUCCCGAAGUUUCUGUGCCAUUCUCCAUGUGUUUCUGUGCCAUUCCCGAAGUUUCUGUGCCAUUCUCCAUGUGUUUCUGUGCCAUUCCCGAAGUUUCUGUGCCAUUCUCCAUGUGUUUCUGUGCCAUUCCCGAAGUUUCUGUGCCAUUCUCCAUGUGUUUCUGUGCCAUUCCCGAAGUUUCUGUGCCAUUCUCCAUGUGUUUCUGUGCCAUUCCCGAAGUUUCUGUGCCAUUCUCCAUGUGUUUCUGUGCCAUUCCCGAAGUUUCUGUGCCAUUCUCCAUGUGUUUCUGUGCCAUUCUCCAUGUGUUUCUGUGCCAUUCUCCAUGUUUCUGGGCCAUUCCCAAUGUUCUGGUGCCAAGCCCACAGCAGGGAAGGCACUGACACCUCUGGGAUUCAGCAGAGCCACUCCAGGGAAUGCUGCACAAACCCCUGGCCCUGCUUUGGGAGGAGCUUUUUAACCCCUCCCACCAUUCCCAGCGGAUUUUGGGAUAUUUUGGGAUAUUUUUGGAUAUCCCAGAGCUGGGUGCAGGCAGCAGGAGGAAACCUGGCUUGAGGAUUUGCACACCCUGGGUGUCACUCCCUCUGUUCUCCACGGGGUUUUGGAGCAGGAGAUCACCCGUGGGUCACACCCUGGAGCCCCUGGAAGGGCUCUGGGUGUCAUCCCAACAUUCCAAACCUGCACUGGAGGGGAUUUCUGUCUUCCCAAGCAGGGACCAUCAUUCCAAAAAUGCUUCACGUAAGGAAUCACCCAAAUAAAGCUGCUCUCGUGGCUCAGUUUUAGCAUUCCUGCUUUGUGAAAGGUUUUUCUCCACAGCUUCAGAGUUGGAUUAAACAUUUUUUUGGUGGGGUUUUUGGUGUUGCAGAAGCUGUGGCAGUAAUUCCUGAGCCAGGCUGGGCACACCCUGAGACCAAACAGAGGCGCAGCCCGGAGCCUGCAGUGACAUUUUGAAGUCAGUGCUGGAAAUGUUCCUGCCCUUUGCCCACAUUUUGGGGCUUUUUAGAGACAAUCAGGUGGGAAUUCAGAACCUUCCUCACCCUGCUGUGGGGCGGGGAUGUGACAGCCAGCCCUGGAAUGCGACACAGCCACGUCAGUGGCCACAAGGAGCCUCACCUGGCCACAAGGAAGCUCACCUGGCAGCUGGGGGUAUAGCUCAGGGGCAGAGCAUUUGACUGCAGAUCAAGAGGUCCCCGGUUCAAAUCCGGGUGCCCCCUCUCUUUUUUCCAUCCUUUUAUUCCCCAAAAUGUGGUUGGGAGCCCGGAAUUCCCAGAUUUCCCCCCUGAGCCGGGUGUAGCCCCGUGCUGUGCUUGCUGGUCAGAGGGGAGGCAGAUGAGUCCCAGCAGCAGCAGGGACUGGUGGUGAGGAAAGGGAUCAGGAUUUUGUCCUGGGAUUAAUUAGCAGAGUUUUGCUGGGAUGUUAACGAGCAGGGAGAUUGAGGGAAAGCAGGGGGUAUUGCUCAGUGGGACAGAAUUUGACUGCCCUGGUUCAACUCCACGUGCCCUUUUCUCCUCCUUUCCCUCUUCCUCCAACAUUCCUUCAGCCCAAGUCCUGCAGGGGAAGGUUGGGAAGCUGCUGUGGGAUGUGGGAGUUGAGCUGGGCAGGGAAUGUGGGGUGGGAGCACCAAGGCCCUGCAGAAGUGGAGAACCACUCCCAGGGAAAUCUGGGUCUGCCUGAGCCUCCCUCUGGGCUUAAAUCUGUGGGGAGAAAUUCUCUGCAAUGGGGAAAACUGAACCUGGAUCUGGGCAGGAAUCUGGAAUGGGAAAAACUGAACCUGGAUCCAGGCUGGAAUCUGGAAUGGGGGAACUGACCCUGGAUCUGGGCUGGAAUCUGGAAUGGGGGAACUGACCCUGGAUCUGGGCUGGAAUCUGGAAUGGGAAAAACUGAACCUGGAUCCCAGCUGGAAUCUGGAAUGGGGGAACUGACCCUGGAUCUGGGCUGGAAUCUGGAAUGGGAAAAACUGAACCUGGAUCCCAGCUGGAAUCUGGAAUGGGGGAACUGACCCUGGAUCUGGGCUGGAAUCUGGAAUGGGGGGAGUGAACCUGGAUCCAGGCUGGAAUCUGGAAUGGGGGAAACCAGGACUGGAUAAAGAUGGGAUUCAGAAUGGGUGAAAACCAGGACUGGAUGAGGGCCAGAAUAUGGAAUGGAGCAAAACCCCAAAAGCCAGCCAGGAUCAGGGUGUGAUAUGGAAUGGAGGAAAACCUGGAUAGGAUCAUGGUUGGGAUAUGGAAUGGAGGAAAAACCCAGAUAGGGUAACAGCAAGGAUAUGGAAUGGAGGAAGACCUGGACUGGAUCAGGGCGGUAUACGGAAUGGAGGAAAAACCCGGGGUGUAUCUCUGUGGGGUAUGGAGUGUAGAAAAACCUGGACUGGAUCACAGCUGGAAUAUGGAUUUGGGAGAAAACCUGGACUGGAUUUCAGCCAAUAUAUGGAAUGGGGAAAACCCGGACUGGAUCACAGUCAGGAAAUGGAACAGAGGAACACCCAGACAGGAUUUGGAUGGGACAGGGGAUGGAAGAAAAGCCGGACUGGAUUGCAGCUAAUAUGGAAGGGGGGAAACACGGACUGGAUCAGGGUGGGAUAUGGCAUGGAAGAAAACCUGGACUGGAUAAUACCCAGCAUAUGGAAUGGGAGGAAACCUGAACUGGAUCCAGCCAGGACAUGGAAUAGGGAAUAUCCCGGAUUGGAUCAGGGCUGGGAAAAAGGAAUAAAAGGAAUCCCAUUUGCUGUAUUUUAUCCCACUGAACUCCCUGCACCUUCAACAGGGACACUGGGAUGCACAGGAGCUGCUGAGGAAAGGGAUCCAACCCACAGAGAGAAAAACUCUCUUUCCCAAGAAAUGAUUUAAAUUUCCCUGGUGCAGGAGCUGCCCAGGGGGUAUAGCUCAGUGGCAGAGCAUUUGACUGCAGAUCAAGAGGUCCCUGGUUCAACUCCAGGUGCCCCCUCUCUUUUUUCCUCCCUCCACUUUCCUUUUGCCCAAAUUUUGCCACAGGAAAAAUCCCUGGAGAGCUCGGGGGGGGGGGGGGGGG
Ficedula albicollis (Collared flycatcher) is the source of this 3672-nucleotide long non-coding RNA. NCBI's taxonomy places the organism in Eukaryota, Metazoa, Chordata, Aves, Passeriformes, Muscicapidae. The record is from Ensembl.